CACACAGAUCAUCAUCUCCCCCAAACCCCCAAACCCUUCUCAACCCUCAAACAUAACCCUUCCCACUCGACCAUGGCGAACUCUCACCAUGGCAAGCUCUCUCUCGUGAUCUCCCAUGGCGAGCUCUUACCAUGUCCUCCCUGCGGCAUUCUCUCUCAUCUCGUGUCGAUCUCCUCUCCGCGAAACAUCUUCGCCUAGGUCGAUCUCUGCAAAGGGGAGAAGGCUCGUAGCAUACGAAAUACAAGAAACCGUGCAAUGUUGGAAACAACUCAUACUGCUGGAACGAAAAGUUUUGCACGUGUAGCGGAGGAAAUGGUUCAAGUAUAUAUUCGUGGAGCCGAUCAGAAUUCGUUUAUGCACUUUUUGAUUUUGUUAUCAUACAAUUUUUGAUUUUUUGUAUUUCUUUCAGUUAGAGAGUUUGAUUUGUUAUAAUUACUACAACAUAUGAGUGGAUAUUAUUGUUGUGACGUAUGGAUAUUUGAUUUUAGUUUUAUCUUUUUAACAA
This is a long non-coding RNA of Ananas comosus (pineapple), 505 nucleotides long. RefSeq lists it as uncharacterized. NCBI's taxonomy places the organism in Eukaryota, Viridiplantae, Streptophyta, Magnoliopsida, Poales, Bromeliaceae. The record is from RefSeq and is a predicted model, not a curated record. The transcript is spliced from 3 exons.